Molecule: ribosomal RNA, 253 nt
Filed under: uncultured bacterium
Lineage: Bacteria
Description: partial 16S ribosomal RNA
Rfam family: Bacterial small subunit ribosomal RNA
Source: RNAcentral
UACGUAGGGUGCGAGCGUUAAUCGGAAUUACUGGGCGUAAAGUGUGCGCAGGCGGCAGAGCAAGUCGAGUGUGAAAGCCCCGGGCUUAACUUGGGAAUUGCGCUCGAAACUACUUUGCUGGAGUGUGGCAGAGGAAGGUGGAAUUCCACGUGUAGCGGUGAAAUGCGUAGAGAUGUGGAGGAACACCAACGGCGAAAGCACUCUGCUGGGCCGACACUGACACUGAGAGACGAAAGCUAGGGGAGCAAAUGGG